CUCCUACGGGAGGCAGCAGUGGGGAAUAUUGCACAAUGGGGGAAACCCUGAUGCAGCCAUGCCGCGUGUGUGAAGAAGGCCUUCGGGUUGUAAAGCACUUCCAGCGAGGAGGAAAGGUUGAUGCCUAAUACGUAUCAACUGUGACGUUACUCGCAGAAGAAGCACCGGCUAACUCCGUGCCAGCAGCCGCGGUAAUACGGAGGGUGCAAGCGUUAAUCGGAAUUACUGGGCGUAAAGCGCACGCAGGCGGUUGGAUAAGUUAGAUGUGAAAGCCCCGGGCUCAACCUGGGAAUUGCAUUUAAAACUGUCCAGCUAGAGUCUUGUAGAGGGGGGUAGAAUUCCAGGUGUAGCGGUGAAAUGCGUAGAGAUCUGGAGGAAUACCGGUGGCGAAGGCGGCCCCCUGGACAAAGACUGACGCUCAGGUGCGAAAGCGUGGGGAGCAAACAGGAUUAGAUACCCUGGUAGUCCACGCCGUAAACGAUGUCGAUUUGGAGGCUGUGUCCUUGAGACGUGGCUUCCGGAGCUAACGCGUUAAAUCGACCGCCUGGGGAGUACGGCCGCAAGGUUAAAACUCAAAUGAAUUGACGGGGGCCCGCACAAGCGGUGGAGCAUGUGGUUUAAUUCGAUGCAACGCGAAGAACCUUACCUGGCCUUGACAUGUCUGGAAUCCUGCAGAGAUGCGGGAGUGCCUUCGGGAAUCAGAACACAGGUGCUGCAUGGCUGUCGUCAGCUCGUGUCGUGAGGUGUUAGGUUAAGUCCUGCAACGAGCGCAACCCCUGUCACUAGUUGCCAUCAUUAAGUUGGGGACUCUAGUGAGACUGCCUACGCAAGUAGAGAGGAAGGUGGGGAUGACGUCAAAUCAUCACGGCCCUUACGCCUUGGGCCACACACGUAAUACAAUGGCCGGUACAGAGGGCAGCUACACAGCGAUGUGAUGCAAAUCUCGAAAGCCGGUCUCAGUUCGGAUUGGAGUCUGCAACUCGACUCUAUGAAGCUGGAAUCGCUAGUAAUCGCGCAUCAGCCAUGGCGCGGUGAAUACGUUCCCGGGCCUUGUACACACCGCCCGU
RNAcentral lists this ribosomal RNA (1067 nucleotides) under uncultured Aeromonadaceae bacterium. Its description in RNAcentral is "bacterial SSU rRNA". It matches the Rfam family "Bacterial small subunit ribosomal RNA", at positions 336 to 1397 of the family's 1533-position model. The record is from RNAcentral. Lineage: Bacteria; Pseudomonadati; Pseudomonadota; Gammaproteobacteria; Aeromonadales; Aeromonadaceae.